UGGGGAAUAUUGCGCAAUGGGCGAAAGCCUGACGCAGCGACGCCGCGUGGGGGAUGAAGCUUCUCGGAGUGUAAACCCCUUUCGACCCGGACGAAUGUCCCGCAAGGGAUUGACGGUACGGGUAUAAGAAGCCCCGGCUAACUACGUGCCAGCAGCCGCGGUAAUACGUAGGGGGCCAGCGUUGCUCGGAAUUACUGGGCGUAAAGGGUUCGUAGGCGGUGUGGCAAGUCGGAAGUGAAAUCUCCAGGCUUAACUUGGAGGCUGCUCCCGAAACUGCCAUGCUAGAGUGCGGGAGAGGCCAGUGGAAUUGCAGGUGUAGCGGUGAAAUGCGUAGAUAUCUGCAGGAACACCCGUGGCGAAGGCGGCUGGCUGGACCGCAACUGACGCUGAGGAACGAAAGCUAGGGGAGCAAACAGGAUUAGAUACCCCUGUAGUCC
RNAcentral lists this ribosomal RNA (437 nucleotides) under uncultured bacterium. Its description in RNAcentral is "bacterial SSU rRNA". It matches the Rfam family "Bacterial small subunit ribosomal RNA", at positions 355 to 796 of the family's 1533-position model. The record is from RNAcentral.